CAACAGCCGCGGUAAUACAGAGGGUGCGAGCGUUAAUCGGAUUUACUGGGCGUAAAGCGUGCGUAGGCGGCUUCUUAAGUCGGAUGUGAAAUCCCUGAGCUUAACUUAGGAAUUGCAUUCGAUACUGGGAAGCUAGAGUAUGGGAGAGGAUGGUAGAAUUCCAGGUGUAGCGGUGAAAUGCGUAGAGAUCUGGAGGAAUACCGAUGGCGAAGGCAGCCAUCUGGCCUAAUACUGACGCUGAGGUACGAAAGCAUGGGGAGCAAACAGGAUUAGAUACCCCCGUAGUCCCUGUCUCUUAUAC
Molecule: ribosomal RNA, 301 nt
Filed under: uncultured bacterium
Lineage: Bacteria
Description: partial 16S ribosomal RNA
Rfam family: Bacterial small subunit ribosomal RNA
Source: RNAcentral